CCUACGGGAGGCUGCAGUGGGGAAUAUUGCGCAAUGAGCGAAAGCCUGACGCAGCGACGCCGCGUGAGGGAUGAAGGUCUUCGGAUCGUAAACCUCUGUCAGCAGGGAAGAACGGUCACUGUGCUAAUCAGCAGUGAAUUGACGGUACCUGCAAAGGAAGCACCGGCUAACUCCGUGCCAGCAGCCGCGGUAAUACGGAGGGUGCAAGCGUUAAUCGGAAUUAAUGGGCGUAAAGCGCUCGUAGGCGGUAUGUUAAGUCAAGGGGGAAAUCCCCGGGCUCAACGUGGGUACUGCCUUUGAAACUGGCAAACGUGAGUGUGUGAGAGGAUAGAGGAAUUCGAGGUGUAGCAGUGAAAUGCGUAGAUAGCUGGAGGAACAGCAGUGGCGAAGGCGACUAUCUGGCACAUAACUGACGCUGAGGAGCGAGAGCGUGGGUAGCAAACAGGAUUAGAUACCCGUGUAGUC
RNAcentral lists this ribosomal RNA (465 nucleotides) under uncultured bacterium. Its description in RNAcentral is "partial 16S ribosomal RNA". It matches the Rfam family "Bacterial small subunit ribosomal RNA", at positions 338 to 795 of the family's 1533-position model. The record is from RNAcentral.